RNAcentral lists this ribosomal RNA (446 nucleotides) under uncultured bacterium. RNAcentral describes it as "partial 16S ribosomal RNA". It matches the Rfam family "Bacterial small subunit ribosomal RNA", at positions 338 to 795 of the family's 1533-position model. The record is from RNAcentral.
CCUACGGGUGGCUGCAGUCGAGAAUCAUUCACAAUGGGGGAAACCCUGAUGGUGCGACGCCGCGUGGGGGAAUGAAGGUCUUCGGAUUGUAAACCCCUGUCAUGUGGGAGCAAAUUAAAAAGAUAGUACCACAAGAGGAAGAGACGGCUAACUCUGUGCCAGCAGCCGCGGUAAUACAGAGGUCUCAAGCGUGGUUCGGAAUCACUGGGCGUAAAGCGUGCGUAGGCUGUUUCGUAAGUCGUGUGUGAAAGGCGCGGGCUCAACCCGCGGACGGCACAUGAUACUGCGAGACUAGAGUAAGGGAGGGGGAACCGGAAUUCUCGGUGUAGCAGUGAAAUGCGUAGAUAUCGAGAGGAACACUCGUGGCGAAGGCGGGUUCCUGGACAUUAACUGACGCUGAGGCACGAAGGCCAGGGGAGCGAAAGGGAUUAGAUACCCCGGUAGUC